CUUGAGAUGAGAGCAGAUGUCUGUCGCUGUUCCAGGAGAUUCAGUGCUCAGAAUUUAAUAUAAAAGACGACUGAGAGAAAAGCAGAUCGUGUCUGAGAGUGAUAUCUUCAAAGGUGUACCAUCGGGAGUUUUCCUGCUUCAUAUGUAUAUUGAAUGAGUUUCCUUGGCCAGGUUUUUUUUUCCUACUUUGUUUGGUUCCAUGUGAUGUUCUGUUGACGUUCAGCUGCUGAACGUGGUCUGCUCUGGAUGUGAAUCGUGUGAAGUGUGAACCCUUCCUGGAUUGUGACCUGUCUCAACUCUCUCCUGUGUCUGUAACGGUGGAGUUGGACUGGCGACCCGCCCAUUAACUGAACCCUGUAAACAUUCCUGUUUUGAAAGAACACCGUAAUUGAACUUGUACAUCUUCAAAUGGUAGGAGUGAAAUUUCGUAUCACACUUAUUUCGGCAUAGACUUUAGAGACUUCAGAUUUCAUCGAUUCCUGGACUGAAUUUGUGAACUGAUUUUUUUUUAUUUAUUUUUUUUAUCACUUACUUUUUCCUCAAAGAAUCAUUCUGAGUGUUCAUCACGAGCAUUGGACUCUUGAUCAAUUUUGAAGUGUUCAGACUGAAUGUAAUUUUGUUUUGAGUUUUUUCAGAGGUUGUUAUGAGUAAAUGUUCAAAGUAUUGAAUAACUAAACUAAGAACAAAUUUAAGAACAAAACCGUUAAAGAAGGGAAAAUAUUGAUUACAUUCUUGAUGAUGAAUAUCUUUAAGAAUUAACUUGGUGAAUUUGCUAUCAACAAAGAAAAGAAAAACAGAAGGGAUGAGUGAUAUUACCAUAAAACCUGUAAGGAAAGAAAACGGUACAAAUCGUUACUAUUGAAUGUAAACUAAACUGAGGUCAUUGUACACUGCAUAUUAUAUUUUUUUUAAUUAUUUUUGUGGUCCUUGUUAAAAUAUAAUCUCUUCUUAUUCUUACCUCAAACCCCGUGUCUGAGUUGAUCACUACUGUCGCACCAUCUCUCUCCUCGGACGAAUCUAAACCGCUGAGCUUACUGGUCCAUUGAUAAAAUAACUUGCAAGAUAUUCGGGUGUCACGGGUUACAUCUUCAUUCACUGCUACGAACUGAUGGCGGUCAGAUAAGUACGAUUUGAACCAUGCUAAGGCACUUCCACUAAUGCCAACAAAGUAUUCUAGUCUAUUCAAAAGACUAUUCUGUCAAACGCAGUGCUAAGAUCCAGUAGAACUAAUAAAGAGAUACA
Molecule: long non-coding RNA, 1242 nt
Organism: Onychostoma macrolepis
Lineage: Eukaryota; Metazoa; Chordata; Actinopteri; Cypriniformes; Cyprinidae
Exons: 3
Source: RefSeq, a predicted model, not a curated record